RNAcentral lists this ribosomal RNA (490 nucleotides) under uncultured bacterium. RNAcentral describes it as "partial 16S ribosomal RNA". It matches the Rfam family "Bacterial small subunit ribosomal RNA", at positions 30 to 507 of the family's 1533-position model. The record is from RNAcentral.
AUUGAACGCUGGCGGCAUGCCUUACACAUGCAAGUCGAACGGCAGCAUGAUCUAGCUUGCUAGAUUGAUGGCGAGUGGCGAACGGGUGAGUAGUACAUCGGAACGUGCCCUGUAGUGGGGGAUAACUAGUCGAAAGAUUAGCUAAUACCGCAUACGACCUGAGGGUGAAAGUGGGGGACCGCAAGGCCUCAUGCUAUAGGAGCGGCCGAUGUCUGAUUAGCUAGUUGGUGAGGUAAAGGCUCACCAAGGCGACGAUCAGUAGCUGGUCUGAGAGGACGAUCAGCCACACUGGGACUGAGACACGGCCCAGACUCCUACGGGAGGCAGCAGUGGGGAAUUUUGGACAAUGGGCGAAAGCCUGAUCCAGCAAUGCCGCGUGUGUGAAGAAGGCCUUCGGGUUGUAAAGCACUUUUGUCCGGAAAGAAAUGGCUCUGGUUAAUACCUGGGGUCGAUGACGGUACCGGAAGAAUAAGGACCGGCUAACUACGUG